UACGUAGGGCGCAAGCGUUGUCCGGAAUUAUUGGGCGUAAAGAGCUCGUAGGCGGUGUGUCGCGUCGGCCGUGAAAACCUGCAGCUUAACUGUGGGCUUGCGGUCGAUACGGGCAUCACUGGAGUUCGGCAGGGGAGACUGGAAUUCCUGGUGUAGCGGUGAAAUGCGCAGAUAUCAGGAGGAACACCGGUGGCGAAGGCGGGUCUCUGGGCCGAUACUGACGCUGAUGCGCGAAAGCGUGGGUAGCAAACAGG
RNAcentral lists this ribosomal RNA (254 nucleotides) under uncultured bacterium. RNAcentral describes it as "partial 16S ribosomal RNA". It matches the Rfam family "Bacterial small subunit ribosomal RNA", at positions 524 to 776 of the family's 1533-position model. The record is from RNAcentral.